UACGUAGGGGGCUAGCGUUGUCCGGAAUUAUUGGGCGUAAAGAGCUCGUAGGCGGUUUGUCGCGUCUGCUGUGAAAACCUAAGGCUCAACCUUGGGCUUGCAGUGGGUACGGGCAGACUAGAGUGCGGUAGGGGUGACUGGAAUUCCUGGUGUAGCGGUGGAAUGCGCAGAUAUCAGGAGGAACACCGAUGGCGAAGGCAGGUCACUGGGCCGCAACUGACGCUGAGGAGCGAAAGCAUGGGGAGCGAACAGG
RNAcentral lists this ribosomal RNA (253 nucleotides) under uncultured bacterium. RNAcentral's name for it is "partial 16S ribosomal RNA". It matches the Rfam family "Bacterial small subunit ribosomal RNA", at positions 524 to 776 of the family's 1533-position model. The record is from RNAcentral.